GUCUCUGUGGUGCAAUCGGUUAUCAUGUUCAGCUGUUAACUGAAAAAUUGGUGGUUCGAGCCCAUCCAGGGAUG
Molecule: non-coding RNA, 74 nt
Organism: Bos taurus (domestic cattle)
Lineage: Eukaryota; Metazoa; Chordata; Mammalia; Artiodactyla; Bovidae
Source: Rfam